AUGUUUUGUAGGAAUUACAUCAAAUACACUGGAGUAAUGGUUUCAGUGAGAAAAGAGCCUGCCCUGGGGAUCAACACGCACAGAUCUGACUGUCCCAAGUUUGCUGGGUGGCCUGGAACUUCUUGGUGCAGAUUCUCCAGAGUGGGUGCCCUGGCCUUAGCUCUGAAAAUGACCCUUUUCCAGGCCACACUAUGUGUUGCUUCAACAGCACUAAACCCAAGUAGAUGCAGAGAACAGUUGCAGAGCCAUGACACCCUGUUGACUUGGGAGGUGAGUCUUAUUUCCUCUGGGCUUGUGGGUAUUCCCAUUGACCACUUAACUGUCUGCCUUUGUUAAAUAUAUUUGGGUGGAGGAUGUUGUCUUCAAAACCCUAGGAUUUCACGGAUAGGGAGGCACUGAGCUAGUGGGAAUAAUAUUCUGGCUGCAUUGACUGAUUCGUCACUUACACAGAGUCAAGGAAACCCCCAGGCCUGGGCAGCAAAUGGUGUGUAUUAGGAGCUAAGGCAGGACAUGACCAGGUCCUCAUUUCCCCUUCUGUCUCCCCAAGAAGCCCACUCUUAAGAGUUAAGCCAUGAGCUUGCCAUAAAGUAAACCUAGAGAAACUCAAAAAAUGGAGACUGGAUUGCAAACGUGAUCUCAGGUUAAUGUUCCAGGGAGUUCAGUGAGUCAUGUCAAAAAUGAGAGAUGGGAAAAUGUUAGCCUGAGAUUUGGAGUUCAAAGCCCAACAUGGCAGCUGUGUGACCUCAGGCAAGUUGUGGCAUCUCUCUGGCCCUCAAUUUCCUCAUCCAUAAAAUGGAAGCAAUAUCAUGGAUUCGUGGGUUUGUUGUGAUAUAUUAUUAUCAUGACAUAGAUGAAUAAAUAGAUGAGUGUGUAGAUAAUAAUGUUGAAUGCUAAAAUUAAUGGACUGCUGCCCCUAAGCCAGAUGCGUGAGAAUAUCCAAUUUCUCAUUUAAUUCUCAAAACCUCCCUUGGAAAUUGUUAGGGACUGCCAUCUUUUUCUUUGCCCUCAUCUUAUUGGGUGGCCCAGGAAGGAUGGUUGCUGCUGUUGUUCUACCUGCAUUCUUGGCUGUUCCUCCUACUUAGAGCUAGAGCAGCUUUGGAGCCAGCGGCUCUCCUCCUUCUUGGUGUCCUCUGGUGCAUGGUAGGUGCAGAGUGGGAGUCCAGUGACCAAAUUAAAUGUCAGAUGUGGAUGCUGAUUCUCAGGGGACAGAGAAGAGCCUGCUUGGCCACAGUGGAAUGAGGUGUCUUUCCCUGCAGUGGGAAAAAAAUUGCUGGAAGGCACUGAUCUCAGAAUCUCCCUUGCUGGGCAGCAUUUAUUUACCAGGAGUGAUGAUUUGUGUCAGUCCGUGGACUCCUUCAUGUUGACUUCUGACAGUGCCACUUCCCAGCACUGUACCCAUCGUCAAGGCAUGCAUCUUACCUUGAGUUUCUCUAGAGUCAGACUUGAGACAAGGGUUUGAGGGAUUGAGGAGCACAGGUGGUGUAGUAAGGAAGUGAGGCAGGAGAGAGGGCGCAUGGUCUCAACAGCUACCCCCAGGGGUGCCAGGAGUGUGAGCCAUGUGCCUUACAAUGAUCCCACCUGAUAAGGGACGGAGGCAGGGGUGGGUCAUUGUCGAGGCUGCUUGAAGGAGGGGGUGAGGUUUAGUUCCAGCCCAUGCCUCCUGGAUGUGUGGCCAUGUGAACUUGGAGGCAGUCCCCAACAGAGAGCUGCCCGCAGUGGCUGCUGGACAUCUGCCUUGAAUCCCAUCCUGAAGCUGAAUGGCUGGAGGAUGUGCAGGCAACGAUGGUCUGUAUCUGCUUCAUCAAGUAGCCUGUCUAGCCUCAGUUUCCUCUUCUUCCAAAUGGGCUGGUAAUCCUUGUCUGGCCAUCUUUUCAAUGUUCAUUUUUCUGCAAACUUCCUUUGAGCACCCACUGAAACUCAGACAACAGGGAUGUUAUAAAAUCAUGUCUGCUCUCAAGGAGAUGUGAGUGUGUGGGGCAGAGCGAAGGGGUGGUGUCAGCUCAGGAUGUGUUUCCUACUCAGAAAUUCUGUGUUUUUUCCCCCCUGAUAGAUGAAGGUGACCUUGCAGCCCCAGCAACCAGAUACCAGACUCCCAGACUCCCAAAGGGACACUGUCCAUGGGAGUUUAAAAAAUGAAGUCAUCAGUUUCCUAGCUUCAAAAUUCAAAAGCCUCAGUCCGGGCACAGACGGGCUGGAAGAAGUUAUACUCAGAGCCCAGGUAAAGAUCCUCAGAGCUGGGGAGCUGGGGAGAGGGGCAUAAGAAAGUUAGAUAUUGGGGCAUUUUUCAGAAGGGUCGCACACUGCUCUUUUGCUCAGACAAUGGCUGGCGUGGGUGAGAACUAAUAGACCCUUGGUCAAAAUGGGAAUCCAGUUCCCUCCUCUAAAAAG
This 2388-nucleotide long non-coding RNA is filed under the name Papio anubis (olive baboon). RNAcentral's name for it is "lncRNA (ENSPANG00000050660.1)". The record is from RNAcentral. Lineage: Eukaryota; Metazoa; Chordata; Mammalia; Primates; Cercopithecidae.